UGAACGCUGGCGGCAUGCUUACACAUGCAAGUCGAACGGUAACGAGGGGAGCUUGCUCCCUGUCGACGAGUGGCAAACGGGCGCGUAACGCGUAGGAAUCUCCUUUAAGUGAGGGAUAGCCAAUCGAAAGAUUGGGUAAUACUUCAUGUGGAUGUGAAUCUAAAGACUUCGGUCGCUUAAAGUGGAGCCUGCGUCCCAUCAGCUUGUUGGUAAGGUAAAAGCUUACCAAGGCUAAGACGGGUAGCUGGUCUGAGAGGACGAUCAGCCGCAUUGGAACUGAGACACGGUCCAGACACCUACGGGUGGCAGCAGUGGGGAAUAUUGCGCAAUGGGCGAAAGCCUGACGCAGCAAUGCCGCGUGGAGGAUUAAGGCUCUAUGGGUCGUAAACUCCUGUGGAGAGUUACUAAAAAAAUGAAGGGCUCUCUAGAAAGAGGUUGCUAACUCUGUGCCAGCAGCAGCGGUAAUACAGAGACCUCAAGCGUUAUCCGGAUUUAUUGGGCGUAAAGCGUUCCGAUCGGUGGUUUAAUAUGUCUAUGGUGAAAGACCGAAGCUCAACUUCGUGUUUGCUAUAGAAACUGUUAAACUAGAAGAGCAAAGAGGUGGCUAGAACUCUGCAAGUAGCGGUGAAAUGCGUUGAUAUGCAGGGGAAUACCAAAAGCGAAGGCAGGCCACUGGGUGCUUCUUGACACUGCUAGGACGAAAGCGUGGGGAGAGAACGGGAUUAGAUACCCCGGUAUUCCACGCCCUAAACGUUGAGUGCUCACUUUUGGAAGGAGUUAACCCCUUUCAGAGGUAGAAGCUAACGCUAUAAGCACUCCGCCUGUAUAGUACGGCCGCAAGGCUAAAACACAAAGGAAUUGACGGGAACCCGCACAAGCAGUGGAUCAUGCGGCUUAAUUCGAUUAUAAGCGAGGAACCUCACCUGGACUUGACAUCUAGAUGCAAGCUUUUAGAGAUAAGAGCCUUCUACGAGAGUGCUAGACAGAUGAUGCACGGUCGUCGUCAGCUCGUGUCGUGAGAUGUUCGGUUAAGUCCGGUAACGAGCGCAACCCCAAUCCUUAGUUAUUUAAUGUCUAAGGAGACUGCCCGAGUUUAAUCGGGAGGAAGGCUGGGAUGACGUCAGAUCAGCGUGUCUCUUACGUCCAGGGCUGCACGCAUGAUACAAUGGGUAGGGUACAACGGGACUGCGAAGGAGUGAUCCGGAGCCAAUCCUUAUAAAACCCCCCUCAGUACGGAUUGAAGUCUGCAACUCGACUUCAUGAAGCUGGAAUUGCUAGUAAUCGCGAAUCAGACUCGUCGCGGUGAUACGUUCUCGGGUUUUGUACACACUGCCCGUCACGGCCUGGGAAUUGGGAGAGCCC
This 1362-nucleotide ribosomal RNA is filed under the name uncultured organism. RNAcentral's name for it is "bacterial SSU rRNA". It matches the Rfam family "Bacterial small subunit ribosomal RNA". The record is from RNAcentral.